This 67-nucleotide transfer RNA is filed under the name Petrasma pervernicosa. RNAcentral describes it as "Solemya pervernicosa tRNA-Tyr". It matches the Rfam family "tRNA". From Rfam's summary of the family: Transfer RNA (tRNA) molecules are approximately 80 nucleotides in length. The record is from RNAcentral. Lineage: Eukaryota; Metazoa; Mollusca; Bivalvia; Solemyida; Solemyidae.
UGUAAAAUGGCUGAGUUGUAGGCGAUAGAUUGUAGCUCUAUUUACGGAGUUAAUUCUUCUUUUACAA